AUUGAACGCUGGCGGCAUGCUUUACACAUGCAAGUCGAACGGUAACAGGCCGCAAGGUGCUGACGAGUGGCGAACGGGUGAGUAAUGCAUCGGAACGUGCCCAGUCGUGGGGGAUAACUACUCGAAAGAGUAGCUAAUACCGCAUACGAUCUAUGGAUGAAAGCGGGGGACGGAAGGCCCUGCGGGGAUUGGACGGUCGGAUGUCAGAUUAGGUAGUUGGUGGGGAAAAGGCUCACCAAGCCAACGAUCUGUAGCUGGUCUGAGAGGACAACCAGCCACACUGGGACUGAGACACGGCCCAGACUCCUACGGGAGGCAGCAGUGGGGAAUUUUGGACAAUGGGCGCAAGCCUGAUCCAGCAAUGCCGCGUGCAGGAAGAAGGCCUUCGGGUUGUAAACUGCUUUUGUACGGAACGAAACGGCUCUGGUUAAUACCCGGGGCUAAUGACGGUACCGUAAGAAUAAGCACCGGCUAACUACGUG
Molecule: ribosomal RNA, 482 nt
Filed under: uncultured bacterium
Lineage: Bacteria
Description: partial 16S ribosomal RNA
Rfam family: Bacterial small subunit ribosomal RNA
Source: RNAcentral